RNAcentral lists this ribosomal RNA (407 nucleotides) under uncultured bacterium. RNAcentral's name for it is "bacterial SSU rRNA". It matches the Rfam family "Bacterial small subunit ribosomal RNA", at positions 355 to 776 of the family's 1533-position model. The record is from RNAcentral.
UGGGGAAUAUUGCGCAAUGGAGGAAACUCUGACGCAGCAACGCCGCGUGAAGGAUGAAGGUUUUCGGAUCGUAAACUUCUUUAAUCUGUGACGAAAAAAAUGACGGUAGCAGAGGAAUAAGCCCCGGCUAACUACGUGCCAGCAGCCGCGGUAAUACGUAGGGGGCAAGCGUUGUCCGGAUUUACUGGGUGUAAAGGGUGCGUAGGCGGGUAUUUAAGUCAGAUGUGAAAACCACGGGCUCAACUUGUGGACUGCAUUUGAAACUGGAUAUCUUGAGUACAGGAGAGGAAAGCGGAAUUCCUAGUGUAGCGGUGAAAUGCGUAGAUAUUAGGAGGAACACCAGUGGCGAAGGCGGCUUUCUGGACUGUAACUGACGCUGAGGCACGAAAGUGUGGGGAGCAAACAGG